RNAcentral lists this ribosomal RNA (301 nucleotides) under uncultured bacterium. RNAcentral's name for it is "partial 16S ribosomal RNA". It matches the Rfam family "Bacterial small subunit ribosomal RNA", at positions 509 to 807 of the family's 1533-position model. The record is from RNAcentral.
CAGCCGCCGCGGGAAUACGGAGGGAGCUAGCGUUGUUCGGAAUUACUGGGCGUAAAGCGCACGUAGGCGGCUUUGUAAGUUAGAGGUGAAAGCCUGGAGCUCAACUCCAGAACUGCCUUUAAGACUGCAUCGCUUGAAUCCAGGAGAGGUGAGUGGAAUUCCGAGUGUAGAGGUGAAAUUCGUAGAUAUUCGGAAGAACACCAGUGGCGAAGGCGGCUCACUGGACUGGUAUUGACGCUGAGGUGCGAAAGCGUGGGGAGCAAACAGGAUUAGAUACCCCGGUAGUCCCUGUCUCUUAUAC